UUUGAUCCUGGCUCAGAACGAACGCUAGCGGGAUGCCUCAAACAUGCAAGUCGUACGCGAAAGUCACUUCGGUGGCGAGUAGAGUGGCGCACGGGUGCGUAACACGUAGCUAACGUACCCCUUCGCUGGGGAUAACUCCGGGAAACCGGAGCUAAUACCGAAUGAGCUGAUUAUAUCUGCGGAUUAAAUCGGCAAAGCCGUAAGGCGCGAAGGGAUCGGGCUGCGGCCUAUUAGUUUGUUGGUGGGGUAAUGGCCUACCAAGACUACGAUAGGUAGCUGGUCUGAGAGGAUGAUCAGCCACACUGGAACUGAGACACGGUCCAGACUCCCACGGGAGGCAGCAGUUGGGAAUCUUGGACAAUGGGCGAAAGCCUGAUCCAGCAAUCCCGCGUGAGCGAUGAAGGCUUUCGGGUCGUAAAGCUCUUUCAGCAGGGAAGAAUAACUGACGGUACCUGCAGAAGAAGCACCGGCUAACUCCGUGCCAGCAGCCGCGGUAAUA
Molecule: ribosomal RNA, 499 nt
Filed under: uncultured delta proteobacterium
Lineage: Bacteria; Deltaproteobacteria
Description: bacterial SSU rRNA
Rfam family: Bacterial small subunit ribosomal RNA
Source: RNAcentral